This is a long non-coding RNA of Ostrea edulis (European flat oyster), 8741 nucleotides long. RefSeq lists it as uncharacterized. The transcript has 3 exons. Lineage: Eukaryota; Metazoa; Mollusca; Bivalvia; Ostreida; Ostreidae. The record is from RefSeq and is a predicted model, not a curated record.
GAUUCCACUUAUUCUGACAUAUUCAAGGAAGUGUUUUUAGAGAGCAGUUCCAAAUACGAAAUAUCUUUACAAGUGCGGAAAUGAGGUUGGGUUCCUCGUCCGGGUUGAUGCUAUUUAACUAAACCAAUGUCAAAACUUUAUUAGACGACUGGAAAGGAUGUGUAUUGAAAGAAUGGUUUGGUCUUUGAACUAUUUAUUAUUAUCAGCUAGAUUUCCAAAGCUAGAACAUUGAAAUUAAGGAAAAUCAACAUUUUGCAUUGUGUUUGUGUGACUGUUCACUGCCAGAGGGACGGGAUUUUCAUCGUCAUGACACCUAGAAGUGGAUUCCACCUACACUAAGGAAGUUCUUUCGAAGGAAAACAAAAAUGAAAGAAGAGGAAAUGAGAAGAGUGUAUCUUCCGUAUCAUGGUGAUGAUGGUGUAGACUUAUAGUGCACACUGGCCAGUAGGGACCCUACACAGUGUCAUCAGGCACAGAGUAUCCUUUUAAGUUUAGCUUUAGUUUUGCAUGUUUUCAGUUGAUUUGCUUUGAAUAGUUUUAUUUUCAUAUUGCCGGAAAUAGGAACACUUGAGAACUUAUAUGGCCGAAUGUAACGGGCAUAUCAUGGCGCUUUAGAUGUUACUUUUCUUCCUGCAUAAUGACAUUUAUUUUAUUCAUAGCGCCUUCGCAAAUUUCUAUACAGGGCGCCUUAGAAAUGAAUGAUUGUAUUUUAGAUGUAAUCUUUAACCAUUGUAUCAAUUCAAUUUUACUUCUUUAUAGUUACCAAGAGAAGUACAUGUAUGCGCUUGGUUGUCAUCGAAGGUGUGACAUCUGUAAAGUAAUCACGAUGCAGAUGUUUUGUGAAGAAAUAAAAAUCUGUCAAAAUGCAUAGUCGGAUAUCCACGGUUGAUUACGCUUCGUUCUUCUCUACAUCAUUGGUCCAUUCAUGACAAAUCAUUCGUUCUCGUGCAAAAUGAUUUAAAUUUACCGUCCAAUCAAAUUUAUCGAUAUACAUGUAGGAACGAAGCUCCUCUAAUUUUAAAGGUAGCAUUAGUUUAACCUCGCUUUCACAGCAAUAUAUUGUAACGACAGUCCGUAGAAAAGGACUUACGGAUUCGAAAACAAAAAUCGUUUUGGUCUUGAGUGGCCGAUACAAUUAUCUCAUUAUGAAUACGAACGAAAUGGUAUAAAUGGACCCACGAAUGAUGGAGACAGGAACAACGCGUUAUCAAUGUUGAUAUCCGGGGAUGUUAUAAUGCUGACCAGAUUGAUACAUCAAUCAAGUUUAUGAAUAAAUAAUUCAACAUUCAUACUUUUGUUAUUAUGAAUGAUUCUGUGGGGAUCUAUUGUCAAUGGCAACCUUUUAUCACAUAUCAUUACUAGAUGUAAAGUAAGCGUGACAUGUUUCUAUAAAUAUAUGACAGUAAACAUCAGGCACGCAUGCGAUCGAUUCGAAUGACUUUUGUAAAGACUAAAAUGCUACGAUUGACCAUAGAUCGAUUUGAAUGACCACUUUUAUAUUUAAAGAAAGCCAUUGACCACAGGUCUCUUAUAAAUAGGAACGGUAAAAUUUGUGCAACAUGUGUUGGGUAUCUUGAUUUCGCGCCAAUCGGUUAUUUUCGUGAUGUUUGCUAGAUAAAGUUAGGGGCAUGAUAUCCACAUAACGCGUAAAUGCAAUAGGUAAAUACACAACACAUAAGAAACAACACAUACACACAAAACAUGUAGGGGCCAGGUAUAGGACAUGUGGAGAUUAGUGUUUCUUUUCAUGAGAAACUUUUAAGAAGGAUGAUAUUGUAUGAGAUAUAUAAGGAAAUAUGUGUUUGCGAAUUCCGCUUUGCACACACAUAUAUAUAUAUACUAAUACUUUUUAUUAUACCCCCCGCAACAAGUUGUGGGGGGUAUACUGGAAUCGGGUUGUCCGUCUGUCUGUCCGUCUGUAGACGCAAUGGUUUCCGGGCUCUAAAGCAUUAUCCUUUCCACCUACAGUCACCAUAUCAUAUAUAUGGACUACCCAUGGGAUGAAGAUGUUCCCUAUCGAUUUUGGGGUCAAAAGGUCAAUGGUCAAGCGCACGGGACAUCGAAGUAGCAAUAUGGUUUCCGGGCUCUAAAGCGUUAUCCUUUCCACCUACAGUCACCAUAUCAUACAUAUGGACUACCCAUGGGAUGAAAAUAUUCCCUAUCAAGUUUGGGGUCAAAAGGUCAAAGGUCACGCGCAUGGGACAUCGAAGUAGCAAUAUGGUUUCCGGGCUCUAAAGCGUUAUCCUUUCCACCUACAAUCACCAUAUCAUACAUAUGGACUACCCAUGGGAUGAAGAUGUUCCCUAUCGGUUUUGGGGUCAAAAGGUCAAAGGUCAUGCGCACUGUACAUCGAAGUAGCAAUAUGGUUCGGUUUGUCAUGCCAUUUGUUUUUUACACUCAGAAAAGAGUUAGUUUAUACCUAUUACCAACACCCUUUGGGAGAUUGGGGUAAGCGGGGGGUAUUCUUAGUGAGCAUUACUCACAGUACCUCUUGUUCAAUCAGUGAUAUUCAAUGGUUGUAUACUGUGGUUUCAUCAAUAUUCACCAAAAACCAAUUUUCUUCGUUUUUGAUUACAGUAUCUAGUCAAAACAGAAAAUAGUGGUAAUAAAGUGAUAAUUCCCUUUAAUAUCAAAUAUGAUUUUUCUUUAAAAUACUUACACAUUUAUUUACAAAUAAAAUUAUUAUUCUGGCAUAACAAAGGUGAUUGAUAUCAAUAAAAUGAAAUGAAACUACAGUAUACGAUGAUACUUGCACAUUAUUUUUGGUCACCUGAGUCUUUCAGGUGACCUAUUGCAAUUGGUCUGCGUCCGUCGUGUGUUAACAAUUGAACAUUUUUAACUUCUUCGUAACUGCCAAUCUAAUUCUUUUCAAAUUUAGUAUGAGGCAUUUUUUAGAUAAGGCGGACAUAAGUUGUAAAUGACAUGACUCCUGUACCCCUCGGGCCUUAGGGGCGACGGGGCAAAAACUUCCAAAAGUUUGUAAAUUGUAAAUUUCAUGAUCUCAGGGGGAGGGGAUUUCGUAUCAGGUUGGGGCAAAAAUGGUCAGUGAUUAAAUGUGUUGACAACUGAACAUUUUGACAUUCUUCUUGAAAAUUACCAUUGUAAUUCUUUUCAAAGUUUGAAUAAAGCGCAUUUGGGACAAGGGUGACAUAAAUUGUAAACUUCGGGACUCCUGUACCCAUGGGGCCUAAACUGUCAAAAAUUUACCAAUUUUCAAAACUCUUUUUCUCUGCAACUGCAUUAUUUUAAGACAAAUUGAAUAAAUAGUGAUGUGGAACAAGAAGGCUUGUACUAAUAUUGUAAAUUUCACAAUCACUGGGGUAGAUGUUCUGACUUCAUGGUGGGGCGAAACUUGGUAAAUAUAGUGUAUAUUUGUCAAACAUUUACAUUUUAUCUUCUGUAAUGCUAUUGGUAUUAAAUUGAAAUAAAUAUUUCGAUGGAGUGGGUAGUCAUUUACUAAAAUUGUAAAUUUCAUGAUCCCUGGAAGUAAAUGUUUUGAUUCCACUCUGUGUGGGACCAAACUUAUACAGUGAUUAUUGUCUUUAUCAUUUGAAAGACUUUUUUUGUAAGUUUGCUGAUGCAGUAUAAAAACUAAAUGCAUAUUUAGGAAAAAGAAAAUCAAAAUUAGUCAUACCGUGUUAACGUUACAUAUUUGAUAUGAUGUAAAUAAAGUUUUUCAUCAGUUUAGGCACUUUCGGGGGGCAUUUAAGUUUUUUGUAAUGCAUCUUGUUUUAUACUGUUGCUGACUAUUAGAAUGUAGCUUAGAUAUUCAGAACAGGAUUAGUUUUCUAGAUUCAUAGUCCUAAUAAUCAGAUGACCGAUAAGGCCUGUGGAAUUCCUGUUUUAUACAGUGACCUAUGUGUUAUACAUUUGAUAUGACAUCGUAUAACUGGUCUUGCAUUUCUAUAAGAGUUCCAAGUAAUCUUUUUUGAUAAAGAAUGUUAAUAGAACACUUUGAAAUCAGCAAUGCACGAGGCAAAAAGAGAGCAAAAGAAAAUUAAAAGCAUCAACAGUUAUACGUUAAAAUGGCAUGUUGUCCAAAACUAACGGUUGCACGGUGUCUUCUUAAUUGUUAUAUUUUACAGAUGGGGACGACUGAUAGUAAGUAUUGGUAUACAUAUACCUCUUACAUGUAAGAGCUGGUCACAUACUACAUAAUCACGUGUUUUCUGCACAAAUGCGUCUACUUUCCAAAGGAUUAAACUUGAUUCAAGAAAUGUCUUUCGGAUUUUGAGAUGAUAUACGCUAUACUUUAGCGCUCAAUUCAAUGUGACAUUGCGUAUAGCCUCAAGGUAUAUCAUUCAUUUUGAAAUCCGAAAGACAUUUAUAUUUAAAAUUUCUACUGUAUUUUCCUUGUUACAUGUACAUACAAUGUUAUGUCGUAAUGUUAACUGCACUUUGCGUUGCUAACUCGCAUUGUUAAAACAAAAACAAUCGCGUUUCACCGUUUCUAUUGUGACAUCAUAAUCAAUAACGUUGAAAAUACCACGUUUUCAUUGUGAAAUACCGGCUCGAUUGAUACCAGUUGCUGGUUUUUUGUUGUUGUUUUUUUGUUUUUAUUUCUGGCGCAAACAUGAAAGUAUAUGAGAAAAUAACCCUCGGUUUGAAUUGAUAACAAUAUCAAGGAAAAUACAGAAGGAAUGUAAAUAUUGCAUUUUGCUUACAACCACAUAACAAUGUCAAGUAUGUAUUGAAUAACGAAUGUUUAUACUUCUAAUGUGUGGAUGCCUUUUCUUACGUUAGAUAAAGCUUAUCAUUGUUAAAUAAUGACUGAAUAUGAAAGGAAUACAUCAAAUCAGGAUGAUAGUUAUUUAUAAUUCGUUAUACUACUGUAUCAGAUAGAGAGUUUAUUCACUGUUUGUUCUUCAGGUUCAGUCCUGUACUAUUAUAUCUAAUACCUUUAAGUUCUUUACGAAGUACUUCAUAGAACCCCUGAAUCACUCGGAAAAAGAAUUCUGGAUUUUGCUUUACUUCACGACCAAAUUAAAUAUUUGUUUUUAAACAUACUGGAAGAACCAUUCACUAAAUGUUGAACUUAAGUAUUAAGAAAAAACUCAAAACAUUGUUAGAAAGACAAUGAUGCUUUUUUUCAUCUGCACUGUAACCAUAGCCUCCCCUCCCUUAUGAAUUGGUCAAAAUGCGCUAUGGAAAGCUAGGUUUACCAUUUAAAGGUGCGUGGACACGAUCUGAGCUGAAAAUUUAAAAAUUUUACUUUUCCAUUUUUCAUGUUUACAAUACUUAACUAAGGUAUUUCUAAUAGUCAGCAAAAUUUUGAAUGUCAGUUGUCGAGUUACAUGAGAGAUACAGAGCUAACAAUUUUUUGUUAUGUAAACAAUGCUAGUGUCAUGUUUGUGUUUACAUAGGUUAAAUAUACUAGUAAAAGUUUAGCUUAAAGCAGGGUGUUUUCUCUCCUGAAUUAAGAAGUUAAUUCUGAAUACAAACAGUUCCCCGUGUUAGUAACGUCUCGUUUUGUUUUAAAUUUGAUAUUUUGUAUUAAGCGAUCUAAAUGUGUACAAAACAUGACACAAAUUAUUAGUAGAACGUAUUUUUAUUUUAUUUUCUGUGAAAUCAGAAGAUAGACACCUACGCUUUAGGUUUUUCCUUGUAAUAAGUAUAACAUCGAAACGGAAGUAUGACAAAACCGCUUGUACGUUUAAUGUUAUCAGAAAUCUUUACACAUUUGGCAAAGUGUAGAAAUGUUUUAAGAUAUGUGGUAAGAAUAAAAUUAAACUCCAUGAUGGAGUAAACAACGUAUGCAUUUAGAGCUUUACCUGUCAUUUGCAACAUCUGAAUUUGUUGCAUGUUGUAGCUUGCAGGAAAACAAAACUUUUAGGUUAGUCAUCUGCGUUCUCUACCAAUUUAAUGUGUCGCAAUGGUCAAGUUUUGUUUUAGAAACUGUCGUGCUAUGUACACAAUAUUAUCUAUCAGUAUUGCGUUGUAUCUAACAUAUUCUGCAUUGCAAUGGUGGUUGAAAUUCUUUCAUACUAGAGACAGAGAACGAGAGCAGAGGACUGCUACUUGUCGAGUCGGAUUCUCCCGUCAACCUCCAUGCAGUCUAUCCCACUCGGUGAUAUGAUGUAUGCUCAACAAUAACACAACUAAAUUUCGCUUUCUCAUGCACUAUGUGAAAAACAUAUGCUCGUUAUAGUAAAUCUGUAGUAAAUGACAAGCAUGGUUAUUAAUUAUUUAAUUAUGAAUAAAUAAUUUGAUCUGAUUGUUUGAAAUAAAUUCAUACACUUCAAGCUGCGAAAUAAAGUGAUUUUAUUUUGUAAAAAUAACGGAAGUCGUAAAUAAUUCCAAUGGAAAUAAAGUAGGUGUUCAACAUUAUUUUCCAUUAUGUGCUUGGUAAUCAAAAGCAAUUUAUGAAAUAUUUUGUCGUGUUAAUCAUCUUCUGUUUCAGCGAAUCUUUUGACUUUGGGAGAUGUUUUUAUUCUGCCACUGGACGUUGUGAAUUGAACAACUUGAUAUAAAUCAUGUAAACUUUGUCAUAUAAUACAUGUAGAAGGAAAGAGACAAAUAUUUCUAUACGUUAAGGCUAAAAUUGAAAUGUUUGGUUUCCCUCAUCUGACCUCAUUCCAUCAAAACUUAGUAUUCGUCCCUUUUCCAAAACGUGUAUUCCUACACGACAGUUAAUUUUGAGAUUAAAUUAUUUAAUAUCUAUGCAAAAGCCAGUCGUAAAACUAUUCCAAAAUUAUAAAGGAAAAAUAAACUAUUGACAUUUCUGCCAAUAAAGCUAUUUGCACAAUAUUUUAAAGAAAAAAGAAAAGACGAAAUUGAAUUAAAUCCAUUGAGAAGUAUGCAUUUAUAAACUAACCUUUGAACCACCAGAGCAGUCUGUAGUCUAUCAUGACAUGACAUUUUUGUAGUUUCUUCAUUAUUCACGGAAAACUAAUUAGAGUGAAGUUUCCUCAUGAAUAAAAAAUCAUAAGAAACGAUAUUUACAUUACUAUGUACCCAUGACAUUGUAAUUCUUUUCAUGUUCAUGUAAUCUUAUAUCCAUGAAAAUCUGUUAAACUACCUUAUACGCAUUUGUUAAUGUUUUUUUCCCCAGGAAUCCACAGGUAUUGUAGAUUUGGUAAUAUUUCAUGAUAAUUUAGUUUCAUUGUUUCAUCAGCAUUCAAGUAGUAUAUUCCAGAAACGAUUUUACAUUUUCUGACUGCAAUAGUAAGACAUUUGUAAAUCAUAAAACAUUAUUGGUAAAUAAAGGGGGAAAUGCAUACUGAUCUGUGUUAAUAUUUAAAGGGGAACUAUCCAUAAAACUAUCAUUAACAAUAUCUUUAAGGUAGAAUGACACGUUCAAUAUGAAUGGUUGUAUGUUAUCAUCUUAAUUUUGUAUUUUGCAGGAAUGGUCUUAAGAGAGCUGGUCAGAGGCUACACGAUUGUUUUCUGCAUCAAUACGUUUACUUUCCUUGAAUUAACUUUAUAGCAUUUUGCUUACAAUUAAUUAACAAUGAUAUCAAUAUACUAAAUAACAAAUGUGAAUAAUUUUAAUCCUCACGACAGAAAAAGCUUCUCAUUAACAUGAACUCUAAACUGUUUGAUGGUUUAAAACUUUAUGAAAUUAUAAUUGAAUCAUCAGCUCUUUGGUACAGUGUAAUUAAUGUAAAAAUUAUAAUGGAAAAUCUCAUUAAUUUAUUUUUGAAUGUUAAUACUAGUAUCUCAUUUACUGAUUUAAUUCAAUGUUUUAUUUCAGAGUCCAUUCAAUAUUAUUAGUUGAUAUAAACACCUUUUAUUCUAUAUGAAAUACUUCGUUAGAUAACCAGUGAUUCACUCAGGAGACAAUUGUCUUGUUUUAUGUCCCAGUCCAGAAUGUUUUAGGUACGUAGAGACGUCACUGCCUUAAGGUUUAGUACAACAUUUUCUCGCCAGUGCAUGGCGCGUAGGGCCGUAACAGUGGGGUUCUGUAUCGUGCCAAAGCCUUCCAAAAUGUCUUCUACAGGGUCCGUCGCGAUAGUCUGGUGGUUAGCGCGCCCGCUAGAAGGCCCGGUUUCUAUUCUCUUUCCCUAAUGUGUUUAACAUAGGUUGUAACUGUUCCUUAGCCAAGCGGCAUGCAUGAGAAAUAAAAAUCAUGGAUCUUUUGAUUAUAACCUUGAAAAUGAAGUACAAUAUCUAGGUACAUGUAGGCUUUGGCACGAUACAGAACCCCACUGUUACGGCCCUACGCGCCAUGCACUGGUGAGAAAAUGUUGUACUAAACCUUAAGGCGGUGACCUCUCUACGUACGUCAAUGCAUUGUGAAUUGAAUAUGAUGUAAAAUUUAGAAUUUGUAUCAAACCAAGGAAACUGCUAAAGUAAGUAUUGAUAGAGAAAAAUGUCGUGUCAGGCUGUGGAUAAGGGCGGGUGUUGUGGAAAGCUUAUUUUGCCCUUCAGAUAAAUGUAAAGUUUUUUUUUCUUCAUUUAAGUUGAUAUUUAAGCACAGGAACGCACGCUUUGUGGAUGCGCUAACAGAGCACUUCUAACACGUACAACGCCUAAGCUGAAGUAUGCUAACCUCUUCAGUCAAUUUACUGUUACUAUAAUCUAAUUUCAUGGUAAAUAUUCACAACAUAUCAUAAAGAGCGUUUAUUGUAGCCUUAUGUAUGAUGUACUCUAAAAUGCUUGAAUUGAGAGUACAAUUAGUUUAGCUUUCAUAUAACUCUUAUGGGUUAGAUACUUGGGUUCACAACUAAUGCUUCAAGUUAAUAAAGUCAUCUCAUAUCAUUAUAACAAGCUCAUUUCUACUUUAUAUUGAAACGCGGAAA